GAUGAAGAACGUAGUGAAAUGCGAUAAGUAAUGUGAAUUGCAGAAUUCAGUGAAUCAUCGAAUCUUUGAACGCACAUUGCGCCCCUUGGUAUUCCGAGGGGCAUGCCUGUUCGAGCGUCAUUAUAACCCCUCAAGCUCAGCUUGGUGUUGGGGCCUGCUGCACUGGCAGCCCUUAAAAUCAGUGGCGGCGCCAUCUGGCUCUAAGCGUAGUAAUUCUUCUCGCUAUGGAGUCCUGGUGGAUGCUUGCCAUCAACCCCCAAUUUUUCUAUGGUUGACCACGGAUCAGGUAGGGAUACCCGCUGAACUUAAGCAUAUCAAUAAGCGGAGGA
This 329-nucleotide unclassified non-coding RNA is filed under the name soil metagenome. RNAcentral's name for it is "partial contains 5.8S ribosomal RNA, internal transcribed spacer 2, and large subunit ribosomal RNA". The stretch from base 1 to 120 matches the Rfam family "5.8S ribosomal RNA", at positions 35 to 154 of the family's 154-position model. The record is from RNAcentral.